CCAGACUCCUACGGGAGGCAGCAGUGGGGAAUCUUCCGCAAUGGACGAAAGUCUGACGGAGCAACGCCGCGUGAGUGAUGACGGCCUUCGGGUUGUAAAGCUCUGUUAAUCGGGACGAAAGGCCUUCUUGCGAAUAGUGAGAAGGAUUGACGGUACCGGAAUAGAAAGCCACGGCUAACUACGUGCCAGCAGCCGCGGUAAUACGUAGGUGGCAAGCGUUGUCCGGAAUUAUUGGGCGUAAAGCGCGCGCAGGCGGAUCAGUCAGUCUGUCUUAAAAGUUCGGGGCUUAACCCCGUGAUGGGAUGGAAACUGCCAAUCUAGAGUAUCGGAGAGGAAAGUGGAAUUCCUAGUGUAGCGGUGAAAUGCGUAGAUAUUAGGAAGAACACCAGUGGCGAAGGCGACUUUCUGGACGAAAACUGACGCUGAGGCGCGAAAGCCAGGGGAGCGAACGGGAUUAGAUACCCCGGUAGUCCUGGCCGUAAACGAUGGGUACUAGGUGUAGGAGGUAUCGACCCCUUCUGUGCCGGAGUUAACGCAAUAAGUACCCCGCCUGGGGAGUACGACCGCAAGGUUGAAACUCAAAGGAAUUGACGGGGGCCCGCACAAG
Molecule: ribosomal RNA, 607 nt
Filed under: uncultured bacterium
Lineage: Bacteria
Description: bacterial SSU rRNA
Rfam family: Bacterial small subunit ribosomal RNA
Source: RNAcentral